AAGGACUGUGCUCCCAAUCCGCUUACGCUCAAGGAAGAACUGGAAGGCCCAGAACCAGCCUGCUGUCAGGAUCAGAACAAAAGAGGAGGACUGCAUAUGUAUGGACCCACUCCAGAUGGCACGGGGACGGGGGGAGUAGGAAAAGUGGCAUGAGACCAGGCCCACAGAGUAUGGCUGUGCAAGUUGUUCACUCUACAAGGGCACCUGGCCGCUCUCUCAUUCCUGUUGAGGGCUCUCUGGUGGAGCCUCUGUCUCACAGGUCACCUGCAGGCCAACACUCCCAGAAGCAGCUAGCACCAUGGUUGACCUCGUCCAGGUCCAGGGAAGGCCUCCCUCUCCAGGACUCCUUUAGAUUUCCCCAGCAUCCAGACCUCACCUGCCUAAGUGCUGUUGCCCUGGAAGCCACAGUGAGCACGAGCUCCAUCUUGCACCUUUACCAGCCAAUGGGGGUAAAGACAUUAGCUGAAAUACUUCUAAGGGGCCAGGCGUGGUGACUCAUGCUUGUAAUUCCAAGCACUUUGGGAGGCUGAGGCAGGUGGAUCACCUGAAGCCAGGAGUUCAAGAGCAGCCUGGCCAACAUGGCGAAACCCUGUCUCUACUAAAAAUACAAAAUUUAGCCAGGCAUGGUGGCGGGAGCCUGUAAUCUCAGCUCCUAGGGAGGCUGAGCCAGAAGAAUCGCUUAAACCUGGAAGCUGGAGGUUGCAGUGAGCCAAGAUCACACCACCACACUCCAGCCUGGGUGACAGAGCAAGACUCCAU
This 759-nucleotide long non-coding RNA is filed under the name Homo sapiens (human). Its description in RNAcentral is "VIPR1 antisense RNA 1". Lineage: Eukaryota; Metazoa; Chordata; Mammalia; Primates; Hominidae. The record is from RNAcentral.